RNAcentral lists this ribosomal RNA (503 nucleotides) under uncultured bacterium. RNAcentral describes it as "partial 16S ribosomal RNA". It matches the Rfam family "Bacterial small subunit ribosomal RNA", at positions 30 to 523 of the family's 1533-position model. The record is from RNAcentral.
AUUGAACGCUGGCGGCAGGCUUAACACAUGCAAGUCGAGCGGGGUGAUGGUGCUUGCACUAUCACUUAGCGGCGGACGGGUGAGUAAUGCUUAGGAAUCUGCCUAUUAGUGGGGGACAACAUCUCGAAAGGGAUGCUAAUACCGCAUACGUCCUACGGGAGAAAGCAGGGGAUCACUUGUGACCUUGCGCUAAUAGAUGAGCCUAAGUCGGAUUAGCUAGUUGGUGGGGUAAGGGCCUACCAAGGCGACGAUCUGUAGCGGGUCUGAGAGGAUGAUCCGCCACACUGGGACUGAGACACGGCCCAGACUCCUACGGGAGGCAGCAGUGGGGAAUAUUGGACAAUGGGGGGAACCCUGAUCCAGCCAUGCCGCGUGUGUGAAGAAGGCCUUAUGGUUGUAAAGCACUUUAAGCGAGGAGGAGGCUCUUUUGGUUAAUACCCAAGAUAAGUGGACGUUACUCGCAGAAUAAGCACCGGCUAACUCUGUGCCAGCCGCCGCUGUAA